RNAcentral lists this non-coding RNA (25 nucleotides) under Mus musculus (house mouse). The record is from RNAcentral. Lineage: Eukaryota; Metazoa; Chordata; Mammalia; Rodentia; Muridae.
UGCUAUGUUGUGAAAACAGGCCUGG